This 27-nucleotide non-coding RNA is filed under the name Mus musculus (house mouse). The record is from RNAcentral. Lineage: Eukaryota; Metazoa; Chordata; Mammalia; Rodentia; Muridae.
CCCAAGCUUUAGGAGCCCAUCCAGACC